UAGGGAAUCUUCGGCAAUGGACGAAAGUCUGACCGAGCAACGCCGCGUGAGUGAAGAAGGUUUUCGGAUCGUAAAACUCUGUUGUUAGAGAAGAACAAGGACGUUAGUAACUGAACGUCCCCUGACGGUAUCUAACCAGAAAGCCACGGCUAACUACGUGCCAGCAGCCGCGGUAAUACGUAGGUGGCAAGCGUUGUCCGGAUUUAUUGGGCGUAAAGCGAGCGCAGGCGGUUUCUUAAGUCUGAUGUGAAAGCCCCCGGCUCAACCGGGGAGGGUCAUUAGAAACUGGGAGACUUGAGUGCAGAAGAGGAGAGUGGAAUUCCAUGUGUAGCGGUGAAAUGCGUAGAUAUAUGGAGGAACACCAGUGGCGAAGGCGGCUCUCUGGUCUGUAACUGACGCUGAGGCUCGAAAGCGUGGGGAGCAAACAGG
This 429-nucleotide ribosomal RNA is filed under the name Gemmatimonadota bacterium. RNAcentral's name for it is "Gemmatimonadetes bacterium partial 16S ribosomal RNA". It matches the Rfam family "Bacterial small subunit ribosomal RNA", at positions 355 to 776 of the family's 1533-position model. Lineage: Bacteria; Pseudomonadati; Gemmatimonadota. The record is from RNAcentral.